Long non-coding RNA from Toxorhynchites rutilus septentrionalis, 1094 nucleotides. RefSeq lists it as uncharacterized. The record is from RefSeq and is a predicted model, not a curated record. NCBI's taxonomy places the organism in Eukaryota, Metazoa, Arthropoda, Insecta, Diptera, Culicidae. The transcript is spliced from 3 exons.
CUCCGUAGCCACAUUGGUUGCGCGUUCGCUUAGUAAGUGAUCGAUCGUGAGUUCGAAACUCAGGGCCCUCAUUGACCAUCUUUGUGUUGUUACAGAAUAACUACGUCCACGCAACAAUCAUCUGCGAUGGAGAUCGAUCCACGGUCGAAAUAUGAUCGAUUCAUCCAUACAACUGCUCUGCUCUGCAAGACACAUCGGGCUGCUGUUCUAUAAAUAACUCAACAAUGAUCAAUCAACUGUCUCCGCUGUCCGGUCUAACUGGAUAAUGGAAGAACAGAUAGAAAACUCUUACGCCUAAAUGGCUGCUACUGUGUAAAUGUGUACUAUAUGGAAUGGUAUAGAAGGGAAUACUCUAACGUCGAAAAAUGGCAACUGUGUAAUGUGCUAAUUAUAGAUAUGAUAAAUAUGUGACAUGUACACGAUUAAAAUUCGGCUCUGUUACAGCUAAAAUGCCAAUGAGCCUAAAAUAAAUAAAAAGGGACAAAAAAAACACUGUUGACAGCUGGAUCCGUAGUACAGAAGCAACGGGGUGUCGUAGAACAAAUUCCAAUGAAUAUUUUGAAGCUUUAAGGCAGUACCUGAGGCGUUGCAUAGUUUUUGAAAAUUCGAAAAAAAUGCCAAAAUGGCGGUCUUUUUUAAAAAUAAGUUAUUUUACAUGAAAAAUCGUUGUUUAGAAGCUCAAAAAAAUGGAAUAAAGGAAUAUUGAAAACGGUUAUGUAACGCUUCAGAUAAUCCAUUUUUACGAAAAAUACUUUUGGGAUAACAUUUCCUAGGGCAUAAGUACUCAAAAAUGCAAAAAUCAAAAAUUCGAUUUUUUCGAUUUUCCAGAUCGGGGCCCCCCCCUUGAUGGAGAAAUGGCUGAUAUGUUUCUCACAAUCCUACUUAAAUAGGUUGUCCUACAAAUAAUAAUAAAAAUUCAAAACUGUAGAAUGAAUAUGCCAUUAAAUAACUUUAAAAAUCGUUCUUUCAAAGGUUACGAGAGAGUUAGUUUUACCUCCUCAUUGAACUUUUCAAGCCAGUCAGUCAACAGGCUUCCUCGAGGCUAAAAGCGCGUUUAAGUGGAAAGAUUGAAUAAUCGGGACGGGCCGCUAGUC